Molecule: ribosomal RNA, 253 nt
Filed under: uncultured bacterium
Lineage: Bacteria
Description: partial 16S ribosomal RNA
Rfam family: Bacterial small subunit ribosomal RNA
Source: RNAcentral
UACGAAGGGGGCUAGCGUUGUUCGGAAUUACUGGGCGUAAAGCGCGUGUAGGCGGGUCUUUAAGUCAGGGGUGAAAUGCCAGGGCUCAACCUUGGAACUGCCUUUGAUACUGGAGACCUUGAGUCCGGGAGAGGUGAGUGGAAUUGCGAGUGUAGAGGUGAAAUUCGUAGAUAUUCGCAAGAACACCAGUGGCGAAGGCGGCGAUCUGGGCAGAUACUGACGCUGAGGUGCGAAAGCGUGGGGAGCAAACAGG